UACGUAGGGUGCGAGCGUUGUCCGGAAUUAUUGGGCGUAAAGGGCUCGUAGGCGGUCUGUUGCGUCAGGAGUGAAAACUCGGGGCUUAACCCCGAGCCUGCUUCUGAUACGGGCAGACUAGAGGUAUGCAGGGGAGACUGGAAUUCAUGGUGUAGCAGUGAAAUGCGUAGAGAUCAUGAGGAAGACCAGUGGCGAAGGCGGGUCUCUGGACAGUUCCUGACACUGAGACACGAAGGCCAGGGGAGCAAACGGG
This 253-nucleotide ribosomal RNA is filed under the name uncultured bacterium. Its description in RNAcentral is "partial 16S ribosomal RNA". It matches the Rfam family "Bacterial small subunit ribosomal RNA", at positions 524 to 776 of the family's 1533-position model. The record is from RNAcentral.